UCCCGCCGCUCUCCCCCCGCUCUCCCCCCGCCUUCUUCAUCCCUGCUCCCCUUCACCCUGGGGAAAUGGAGGAAAACACAAAAACAUUGGGGAAGAACAGUCAGCCGAACCGCCUGAGCCAUCCUCCUGCCCGCAGGGCGGCAGCUGCCCGCAACCAGGAGCACCCAGCAGGAGGAGGCAGCUGCUCUCUUUGCCGGGAGGACAGGGAGAUCCACUGAACUUGUCCCGACCUUGCCAAGAGCUUUGGUGUUUGAGUUGCCAAACCCAAACUGGUCCUGCCUGUGGUGUGGAUCCUGGAAUUGCCUCUGGAUGUGUGCUGAGCUCUCGCUGCUGUGGACUGUGCGGUCUUAAUUGCUGCAGGGUUCUGUUCUUCUCACUGGAGAAUUGGAAAUAAUGAUUAAUUAGAGUGCAGAGAUGUUUUUGGAAACCUCUCCCUUUUUUCUGUCUUUCUUUUAGUGAUAGAUCUUCUCUUUCUGCUUCUGAAUUUACAGCAAUUCUCAGAUGUCAUUUCACCUGCCCAAAUUCCUCACAGCUCCUGGGGCAGAGAGAAGCUUCUGUUUUGGCCAAGGUUCAGUGGGAAAAUGAUAGUGUCCCGCCUCCUUCAGACAUUGAACUGCUCUUUAUAUCUUAGAGAGUAGACUUAGUUGAUCCUUUUUCAAUAGAAAGUUGCAGGCUGAACUCACCUGAAUUACUAAACCGUGUUUUAGAUAGUUGAGUUUUUUUAAAGGAAAAAAACCGCAAAAAACAGGCUUUCCAUCUGUGGGCUUUAUUGAUAUUGCUCCUUAACUGAGCCACACCUUUAAAGAAUGACAUGGGCGCAUUCUAGAAACAGUGUUCAAUACAUUCUGCACUCCCUUGUGAGACCUUUGGGCUCACGUUUUUCCAUUGCUGAGUUAAUUGCAGGUCCAAGCUGUCAGUGUCCCUUGCAUCUGGUGUUCACUGAUCCGUUUGUGGUGUUCAUUUUCUCUGGGUGCAGAGUUGGCCUUUUUCGGCAGCCAGUGCCCCUCAGGCCUCAAGGCUUGUUUGAACCUUGCAUAAUAUUUUAUGAAGACAUAGGCUGGGGGAGGACUUUGUCUUGUUGCUGCACUAGGAAAUGGAAUGCAGGAGGUUCCUGCAAUAUCCCCCAUGGAAGCUGGAAUGUUUGGGAAUAUCAGUAUAAUGGCUCUCUGUGAUUAAUCUCAGUCUUGGCCAUCUAUAGUGUGGUAGUGCAGGACACGAGAGAGCAGGGGGGUGAGGGACGGGGGUAGGAACAGUGAGGUGUUUCAUGCUGGCAGCUGAGUUUGGUGUCAUUGAUGUUUUCAGAGCUGGAGCAGAUCGAUUUGGUUCUGGUGCACUGGAAUAGGAUCCAAAUCUCAGAAAUGUCUCAGUUUGAGAUAAACUGGGAGGAAAUGUUUUGAAAUUAAUGUGUUUCUUUAUAGAAUGCAGGUUUCAGUCAUUUUUUUAAUAGGCUUUAAAGGAAAAUUUUUUUUGAGAAAAAAUGAAAAGAAUUGUUUAUUUAAUAAGUAGGGUGUAUAUAGGCAAAAUGAAAAAGAAGAAUGAAUAAUAUUAGAUACAUUUUUUUUGUUGUGGAGAAAAUAUCAGUAGAUGUAGAGAAUUUUUUUGCAGAUAUGGUUUGGUUUUUUUGAAGUUGGGGUGUGGUGUAGGUCUUUUUGGGCUGCGGUGUGGGGUGCUCUGGCGGUAGCUUAGUUUUUUGGAUUGGAGUAAAGUUGAAUGGUUUUAGAUGAAGAAGUUAGUUUUGGGAAAAAUUUUUGGUUCAGAUAAUAAAUGAGAGUGUUAGCGUUCAGGAACACACAUAAUCACGGAAUAUGAUUAUAUGCAGGUGCUUUUGUUGAAGAGCUCUGGGAAUCAGGGGUACAGACCCAAAUCUGACUCCGACAUGGCUUUUGAGCUGAACGUAUUUUAUAUUCUAUUGUUAUAUAACUUACAUAUUAAUUAUUAAACUUAUAUUGUUCUAUUGUA
Vidua chalybeata is the source of this 1959-nucleotide long non-coding RNA. RefSeq lists it as uncharacterized. Lineage: Eukaryota; Metazoa; Chordata; Aves; Passeriformes; Viduidae. The record is from RefSeq and is a predicted model, not a curated record. The transcript is spliced from 3 exons.